UAGUACGAGAGGACCGGGAUGGACAUACCGCUGGUGUACCAGUUGUGCCGCCAGGCGCAUCGCUGGGUAGCUAUGUAUGGAUGAGAUAAACGCUGAAAGCAUCUAAGUGUGAAACUCGCCUCAAGAUGAGAUUUCCCAUUCCUAUAUGGAAGUAAGACCCCUGAGAGAUGAUCAGGUAGAUAGGCUGGAAGUAGCAGCGCCGCGAGGCGUGGAGCGGACCAGUACUAAUCGGUCGAGGACUUAACCAAG
Molecule: ribosomal RNA, 249 nt
Filed under: Levilactobacillus brevis
Lineage: Bacteria; Bacillati; Bacillota; Bacilli; Lactobacillales; Lactobacillaceae
Description: Lactobacillus brevis partial 23S ribosomal RNA
Rfam family: Bacterial large subunit ribosomal RNA
Source: RNAcentral